RNAcentral lists this ribosomal RNA (837 nucleotides) under Leucoagaricus sp. RNAcentral's name for it is "partial large subunit ribosomal RNA". It matches the Rfam family "Eukaryotic large subunit ribosomal RNA", at positions 110 to 932 of the family's 3401-position model. The record is from RNAcentral. Lineage: Eukaryota; Fungi; Basidiomycota; Agaricomycetes; Agaricales; Agaricaceae.
CAAAUUUAAAAUCUGAUAGUCUUUGGCUGUCCGAGUUGUAAUCUAGAGAAGUGCUGCCCGCGCUGGACCGUGUACAAGUCUCCUGGGAUGGAGCGUCAUAGAGGGUGAGAAUCCCGUCUCUGACACGGACUACCAGGGCUUUGUGGUACGCUCUCAAAGAGUCGAGUUGUUUGGGAAUGCAGCUCAAAAUGGGUGGUAAAUUCCAUCUAAAGCUAAAUAUUGGCGAGAGACCGAUAGCGAACAAGUACCGUGAGGGAAAGAUGAAAAGAACUUUGGAAAGAGAGUUAAACAGUACGUGAAAUUGCUGAAAGGGAAACGCUUGAAGUCAGUCGCGUUGGCCGGGAAUCAGCCUUGCUCUUUUGCAUGGUGUACUUCCUGGUUGAUGGGUCAGCAUCAAUUUUGACCGCUGGAAAAAGGCUUGAGGAAUGUGGCAGCUUCGGCUGUGUUAUAGCUUCUUGUCACAUACAGCGGUUGGGAUUGAGGAACUCAGCACGCCGCAAGGCCGGGUUUCGACCACGUUCGUGCUUAGGAUGCUGGCAUAAUGGCUUUAAGCGACCCGUCUUGAAACACGGACCAAGGAGUCUAACAUGCCUGCGAGUGUUUGGGUGGAAAACCCGAGCGCGUAAUGAAAGUGAAAGUUGAGAUCCCUGUCGUGGGGAGCAUCGACGCCCGGACCAGAACUUUUGGGACGGAUCCGCGGUAGAGCAUGUAUGUUGGGACCCGAAAGAUGGUGAACUAUGCCUGAAUAGGGUGAAGCCAGAGGAAACUCUGGUGGAGGCUCGUAGCGAUUCUGACGUGCAAAUCGAUCGUCAAAUUUGGGUAUAGGGGCGAAAGACU